AAUGAACGCUGGCGGCGCGCCUAAUACAUGCAAGUCGAGCGAGAAGACGUAGCAAUACGUUUGUAAAGCGGCGAACGGGUGAGGAAUACAUGGGUAACCUACCCUCGAGUGGGGAAUAACUAGCCGAAAGGUUAGCUAAUACCGCGUACGCUCCUUGGACUUCGGUUCAGGGAGGAAAGCGAUACCGUGGGUAUCGCGCUCUUGGUUGGGCUCAUGUCCUAUCAGCUUGUUGGUGAGGUAACGGCUCACCAAGGCUUCGACGGGUAGCUGGUCUGAGAGGACGAUCAGCCACACUGGCACUGCGACACGGGCCAGACUCCUACGGGAGGCAGCAGUAAGGAAUAUUG
Molecule: ribosomal RNA, 347 nt
Filed under: uncultured bacterium
Lineage: Bacteria
Description: bacterial SSU rRNA
Rfam family: Bacterial small subunit ribosomal RNA
Source: RNAcentral